AUACGUAGGUGGCAAGCGUUGUCCGGAAUUAUUGGGCGUAAAGCGCGCGAAGGUGGUUCCCUAAGUCUGCUUUGAAAGCCUCCGGCUCCACCGGGGAGGGUCAUUGGAAACUGGGGAACUUGAGCGCAGAAGAGGGUAGUGGAAUUUCAAGUGUAGCGGUGAACUGCGUAGAGAUUUGGAGGAACACCAGUGGCAAAGGCGACUGACUUGUCUGUAACUGAAACUGAUGCUCCAAAGCGUGGGGAGCAAACAUGAUGAUAUACCCUGGUAGUCCACGCCGUAAACGAUGAGUGCUAAGUGUUGGGGGGUUUCCGCCCCUCAGUGCUGCAGCUAACGCAUUAAGCACUCCGCCUGGGGAGUACGGUCGCAAGACUGAAACUCAAAUGAAUUGACGGGG
RNAcentral lists this ribosomal RNA (397 nucleotides) under uncultured bacterium. Its description in RNAcentral is "partial 16S ribosomal RNA". It matches the Rfam family "Bacterial small subunit ribosomal RNA", at positions 523 to 918 of the family's 1533-position model. The record is from RNAcentral.